GAUGAACGCUGGCGGCGUGCCUAAUACAUGCAAGUCGAGCGAACAGACGAGGAGCUUGCUCCUCUGACGUUAGCGGCGGACGGGUGAGUAACACGUGGAUAACCUACCUAUAAGACUGGGAUAACUUCGGGAAACCGGAGCUAAUACCGGAUAAUAUAUUGAACCGCAUGGUUCACUAGUGAAAGACGGUUUUGCUGUUACUUAUAGAUGGAUCCGCGCCGCAUUAGCUAGUUGGUAAGGUAACGGCCUACCAAGGCAACGAUGCGUAGCCGACCUGAGAGGGUGAUCAGCCACACUGGAACUGAGACACGGCCCAGACUCCUACGGGAGGCAGCAGUAGGGAAUCUUCCGCAAUGGGCGAAAGCCUGACGGAGCAACGCCGCGUGAGUGAUGAAGGUCUUCGGAUCGUAAAACUCUGUUAUUAGGGAAGAACAAAUGUGUAAGUAACUAUGCACGUCUUGACGGUACCUAAUCAGAAAGCCACGGCUAACUACGUG
RNAcentral lists this ribosomal RNA (497 nucleotides) under uncultured bacterium. Its description in RNAcentral is "partial 16S ribosomal RNA". It matches the Rfam family "Bacterial small subunit ribosomal RNA", at positions 28 to 507 of the family's 1533-position model. The record is from RNAcentral.